ACGAAGAGCUUGCUCUUUGGUGGCGAGUGGCGAACGGGUGAGUAAUGUAUCGGGAACGUACCCAGUAGCGGGGGAUAACUGGCCGAAAGGUCAGCUAAUACCGCAUACGCCCUACGGGGGAAAGGGGGGGAUCUUAGGACCUCUCACUAUUGGAGCGGCCGAUAUCGGAUUAGCUGGUUGGUGGGGUAAAGGCCUACCAAGGCGACGAUCCGUAGCUGGUUUGAGAGGACGACCAGCCACACUGGGACUAAGACACGGCCCAGACUCCUACGGGAGGCAGCAGUGGGGAAUUUUGGACAAUGGGGGCAACCCUGAUCCAGCCAUCCCGCGUGUGCGAUGAAGGCCUUCGGGUUGUAAAGCACUUUUGGCAGGGAAGAAACGGCCUGAGUUAAUACCUUGGGCUAAUGACGGUACCUGCAGAAUAAGCACCGGCUAACUACGUGCCAGCAGCCGCGGUAAUACGUAGGGUGCAAGCGUUAAUCGGAAUUACUGGGCGUAAAGCGUGCGCAGGCGGUUCGGAAAGAAAGGUGUGAAAUCCCAGGGCUUAACCUUGGAACUGCACUUUUAACUACCGGGCUAGAGUACGUCAGAGGGGGGUAGAAUUCCACGUGUAGCAGUGAAAUGCGUAGAGAUGUGGAGGAAUACCGAUGGCGAAGGCAGCCCCCUGGGAUGAUACUGACGCUCAUGCACGAAAGCGUGGGGAGCAAACAGGAUUAGAUACCCUGGUAGUCCACGCCCUAAACGAUGUCAACUAGCUGUUGGGGUUUAUUAACCUUAGUAGCGCAGCU
This 788-nucleotide ribosomal RNA is filed under the name uncultured bacterium. Its description in RNAcentral is "SSU rRNA". It matches the Rfam family "Bacterial small subunit ribosomal RNA", at positions 71 to 853 of the family's 1533-position model. The record is from RNAcentral.